CCUCCCUCUUUUUCAAUACCUUCCAUCUACCUGACUAGAUAUAGGUAGUAGGGCUAUAGGAGCUAUCCGAAUGUUUCAUCCCCUUAUGUAAGCGGCAGGUGGAUCACCUAAUACAUAGCUCCUCCGCGACUUCAUGAUCAAGCCAAAAUUUGUUUCUACUCAACCAAGGGAUAGUCGCGCAUGGUAACCAUUAAAAAUAAAUAUAUAGAAAUAUUCUGAAGCCCAGAAAAAACUAAUGUCUACUGCGGUGGUUUACCCGCACCUAAUCUCGAGAAUCGGAGACCCGCUGUUCGCCGUCUUCAUCGGCACUUCAGCCGCAUACUUGCGCAUCCGCCGCGAACAUAGAGAG
RNAcentral lists this small RNA (349 nucleotides) under Histoplasma capsulatum var. duboisii H88. RNAcentral describes it as "Histoplasma capsulatum H88 hypothetical RNA". Lineage: Eukaryota; Fungi; Ascomycota; Eurotiomycetes; Onygenales; Ajellomycetaceae. The record is from RNAcentral.